Molecule: ribosomal RNA, 406 nt
Filed under: uncultured bacterium
Lineage: Bacteria
Description: partial 16S ribosomal RNA
Rfam family: Bacterial small subunit ribosomal RNA
Source: RNAcentral
AUUGAACGCUGGCGGCAGGCCUAACACAUGCAAGUCGAACGAGUGGCGGACGGGUGAGUAAUGUCUGGGAAACUGACUGAUGGAGGGGGAUAAGAACUGGAAACGGGAGAUAAUACCGCAUACGAGCGGAGGUGAACAGAUGGGAUUAGCUAGAAGGUGGGGUAAAGGCUCACCGAGGCGACGAUACCUAGCUGGUCUGAGAGGAUGACCAGCCACACUGGAACUGAGACACGGUCCAGCCUCCUACUGUAGGCAGCAGUGGGGAAUAUUGCACAAUGGGCGCAAGCCUGAUGCAGCCAUGCCGCGUGUAUGAAGAAGGCCUUCGGAUUGUAAAGUACUUUCAUCGGGGAGGCGUUACCCGCAGAAGAAGCACCGGCUAACUCCGUGCCAGCAGCCGCGGUAAUAC